GGGAUGAGAGCCACUCAGACUAGCCAAGGAGACUGCCUGUGUAACCAACCCACUGAGAGUUUUUAGGGCACUGAAACCUGAACCGAGAGGGCAUAUGGCACAGGCAAGUCAUCCUUGGCUUGCCAGAGAGACUCUUCGUCU
This is a non-coding RNA of Musa acuminata subsp. malaccensis (wild Malaysian banana), 141 nucleotides long. Lineage: Eukaryota; Viridiplantae; Streptophyta; Magnoliopsida; Zingiberales; Musaceae. The record is from Rfam.